GACGAACGCUGGCGGCGUGCUUAACACAUGCAAGUCGAACGGAAAGGCCCUGCUUUUGUGGGGUGCUCGAGUGGCGAACGGGUGAGUAACACGUGAGUAACCUGCCCUUGACUUUGGGAUAACUUCAGGAAACUGGGGCUAAUACCGGAUAGGAGCUCCUGCUGCAUGGUGGGGGUUGGAAAGUUUCGGCGGUUGGGGAUGGACUCGCGGCUUGUCAGCUUGUUGGUGGGGUAGUGGCUUACCAAGGCUUUGACGGGUAGCCGGCCUGAGAGGGUGACCGGCCACAGUGGGACUGAGAUACGGCCCAGACUCCUACGGGAGGCAGCAGUGGGGAAUAUUGCACAAUGGGCGGAAGCCUGAUGCAGCAACGCCGCGUGCGGGAUGACGGCCUUCGGGUUGUAAACCGCUUUCGCCUGUGACGAAGCGUGAGUGACGGUAAUGGGUAAAGAAGCACCGGCUAACUACGUG
RNAcentral lists this ribosomal RNA (468 nucleotides) under uncultured bacterium. RNAcentral's name for it is "partial 16S ribosomal RNA". It matches the Rfam family "Bacterial small subunit ribosomal RNA", at positions 28 to 507 of the family's 1533-position model. The record is from RNAcentral.